GUCUGUUUGUCCUCAUCAUUUUUAGCCAUGGCGUUGUCAGUUUAUUUUCGAUUUAUGAGUUUGACUGUCCCUCUAGUAUCUUUCGUCCCUCUUUUAGUUUGUAACCCGGAUUUGCUUUCUCUCAAUCGAUUUAUGACUUUCGAACAGCGUUAUACUACUGUUGCCUUUAUUUUAGAUGUGUUAUCAUACCAUUUCUCUAUAUUUC
This 205-nucleotide long non-coding RNA is filed under the name Mytilus galloprovincialis (Mediterranean mussel). Lineage: Eukaryota; Metazoa; Mollusca; Bivalvia; Mytilida; Mytilidae. The record is from RNAcentral.